This 263-nucleotide non-coding RNA is filed under the name Colletotrichum chlorophyti. Its description in RNAcentral is "Bacterial small subunit ribosomal RNA". It matches the Rfam family "Bacterial small subunit ribosomal RNA", at positions 1299 to 1533 of the family's 1533-position model. Lineage: Eukaryota; Fungi; Ascomycota; Sordariomycetes; Glomerellales; Glomerellaceae. The record is from Rfam by way of RNAcentral.
UGUAGUCUGAAACUCGACUAUAUGAAUAAGUAAUUACUAGUAAUCGUGAAUCACCAUGUCACGGUGAAUAUAAUCUCGGAUUGGUACUAACCACUCGUCGCAUGCUGAAAGGGGUUCACGCAAUAAGUUUGCUAUUCUGUUAUAAUCUCUUUUAUAAAUUGGAUUAAAAUAUUAUAAUGGGAUUCUUCGUAUGCGUGUCUCUGAUUAGUGUUAAGUCGAAAUACGGUUCGUGUAGUGGAAGUUGCACGGGGUUUAUUAACAUA